Molecule: non-coding RNA, 574 nt
Organism: Rattus norvegicus (Norway rat)
Lineage: Eukaryota; Metazoa; Chordata; Mammalia; Rodentia; Muridae
Source: RefSeq, a predicted model, not a curated record
CAAAGAUGGCGCCGACAUCCAGCCUUGUCUGGAUAUAAACGACUUACUGCGCAUGUGCAGGCUUGUCCCCUUGCUAGGGCUCCCUCUAGUGGUGAACAGCGGUACUGCACAUGUGCGGUUUAUGCACCAGGUGUUAGUUGACCGUUAAUAUGCUAAUGAGGUGAUUCAUUCUCCGCCAAUCCCUGGAGGACAAGUAGUGGGGUGAUCCAAGCCCCACCAAUCCCUGAGAGAUAAUUAGCAUACUGUUGUCUAUAUAAGCCGAGCGAUUUUGCUGCUCGGGGUCCCUGUUCAAGAGAGCUGUAACACUAAGAAGAGCUGUAACACUGAGAAGAGCUGUAACACUAAGAAGAGCUGUAACACAGUAAAGGCUUGCUCGCAGAAGAAUCCUGUUGCCGUGCGUCGUUCUUACUGGCGGGACAUUAGGCGCGCGACAGUUCAGAGCCUGACCCACAUGUGGCCCAUAUAUAUAUACAACCACCAAAACUAGGAGUUGCUGUGGCUGUGCUGUCUCUUCAGAGCAACAGGACACCGACUCAGAAAGUCUGCUUCUAAUAAAGCUCAUUCCACACUGUUG